AUGGCGGCGGCAAAUCCGGCGGAGACUCCGGCGAGGAGAGGCGUCAAUACGGGCGUGGGCUCCGGCGGGGGGCUCAUCCCUGUGUUGGAAUGGGACGACAUCAAGGCCAAGUCCAGGCGCAUACUGCGGCGAUCCACAAAUCGAGCGAGAUGCUGGGAAAGGAUGAAGAAGCGGGCAAAGGAUCUACUCCACGGGAGCCCAGAGCCGGGAGACGAGUUCGUGAACGAGGAACUUGUCGAGUACGCUUACGAGGAUCAAGCUUUCGACAACUCUGAGAAUCUUGCAGGUGCCGACGAUGCCAGUGCAGACGAUGGCGUCGAUCUCAAGUGGGAGUUCGACGAGGAACGUGGUCGUUACUAUGUGUCUUUUCCUGAUGAUCAGUAG
Molecule: ribosomal RNA, 384 nt
Filed under: Triticum aestivum (bread wheat)
Lineage: Eukaryota; Viridiplantae; Streptophyta; Magnoliopsida; Poales; Poaceae
Description: partial small subunit ribosomal RNA
Source: RNAcentral